UUCAUUUUGCAUAUAUCAGGAGAAGUAGAGUAAAAAGAUUGCAUUGACCCAGACAAAUAAUUGUGGCCCUGGGGUUUGGUUUCGGAGAAACGAGAAAGAAGGGAAACUUUUCGAAGGCUUUUUCUCUCUCGCCACUUUAUGUUUCUGGGUGAAUCAUGUUACUCUGCAUAUUCAAGCUUCCUUCCACUUAUUUCCCAUUAGAGUCCCACACCGUAUAGUUUAACUGAAGGUUCAGUGUUUAUAAGGAUGUAGACUGCAUCUUGGCUUGUCCCUUCGGGGACAUCCGAUAAAAUUGGAACGAUACAGAGAAGAUUAGCAUGGCCCCUGCGCAAGGAUGACACGCACAAAUCGAGAAAUGGUCUAAAUUUUUUUUUCUCACUUCAGUAUAUUAUUGUUGCUAAGGCGUAAUGAUCAGAAGUUUCAACACAGUCGACCUUUGAAGUGUUUGUUUAACGGGUCAAUGUUCAAAUAUAUUGUUCAGGUUUGAAUGAUUUUUACAGGGCAUUCGUGAAAUUCUAGUAUUCAGAGACACUGUUCCACACAUGGCCCCAGCAACCAAUUUGAACAAAUGAGUUUCUCUUGAAUGGUAUGUUUGAAGAAAUGAAUGAAAGCAAACAAUGGAUGUAAUUCAGCACCACGAUGAGCUCCAGAGACAACACACCAUGUUUGCCACAAAGCCAAUCCAUCUCCUUCCUCUAAAAUCUUUCUUGGCCAAACCUUCCCACAUAUUUCCUUUCAACUUUUCAUAAUCAAAAUAAAUAAUCUCAUCGAAAGCAUCUUCAGAUUGCAAGCAAAAAGAAACUAGUUGGACAGGAACUAUUCACCAUGCAAACAGCUAAUAUAGUCCCACACCGAAAUAGCUAUGAAGAGAAAGUAUGUUUAUAAAUGAUCAGCUGGAACACCUGGUCACGACCUUACUUGAACAGGAUCUGUUCUAUAGGCUCGUACCUCUGUAUCCUUAAGUUCUAAGGAGACAGGAACUGAAGUCUGGUGGAUGAUCCAUGACCCUGUGAUCAGAGCGUGAUUAACGGUAGUGUUGACUCAGUUUACGGACUGUCCUCAUCACCAACUGUAGAGGAUCGUUCCCGUUCUAGUGAAUUGGGAUGGUCGCAGGGUUGUCUGACAGACUCCCCCAUAA
Vigna radiata var. radiata (mung bean) is the source of this 1138-nucleotide long non-coding RNA. RefSeq lists it as uncharacterized. Lineage: Eukaryota; Viridiplantae; Streptophyta; Magnoliopsida; Fabales; Fabaceae. The record is from RefSeq and is a predicted model, not a curated record. The transcript is spliced from 2 exons.